This 301-nucleotide ribosomal RNA is filed under the name uncultured bacterium. Its description in RNAcentral is "partial 16S ribosomal RNA". It matches the Rfam family "Bacterial small subunit ribosomal RNA", at positions 509 to 807 of the family's 1533-position model. The record is from RNAcentral.
CAGCAGCCGCGGUAAUACGUAGGGUGCGAGCGUUAAUCGGAAUUACUGGGCGUAAAGCGUGCGCAGGCGGUUCGUUAAGACAGAUGUGAAAUCCCCGGGCUUAACCUGGGAACUGCAUUUGUGACUGACGGGCUAGAGUAUGGCAGAGGGGGGUAGAAUUCCACGUGUAGCAGUGAAAUGCGUAGAGAUGUGGAGGAAUACCGAUGGCGAAGGCAGCCCCCUGGGCCAAUACUGACGCUCAUGCACGAAAGCGUGGGGAGCAAACAGGAUUAGAUACCCGCGUAGUCCCUGUCUCUUAUAC